GGGGCUGUAGCUCAGUUGGCUAGAGCGCCAGAAUCGCACUCUGGAGGUCAGGGGUUCGAAUCCCCUCAGCUCCA
This 74-nucleotide transfer RNA is filed under the name Bacillota bacterium. Its description in RNAcentral is "tRNA-Ala". It matches the Rfam family "tRNA". From Rfam's summary of the family: Transfer RNA (tRNA) molecules are approximately 80 nucleotides in length. Their secondary structure includes four short double-helical elements and three loops (D, anti-codon, and T loops). The record is from RNAcentral. RNAcentral also lists the same sequence under 2 other names. Lineage: Bacteria; Bacillati; Bacillota.